GUGGCAGACGGGUGAGUAACAUGUGGGUAUCUGCCCUUUGGCCUGGAAUAACACGAGGAAACUUGUGCUAAUACCGGAUAAGUCUUUACGGAGAAAGCUUUAUGCACCAUUGGAUGAGCCCGCACUUGAUUAGUUUGUUGGUGGGGUAAUGGCCUACCAAGACUGUGAUCAAUAGCUGAUUUGAGAGGAUGAUCAGCCACAUUGGGACUGAGACACGGCCCAAACUCCUACGGGAGGCAGCAGUGGGGAAUCUUGCACAAUGGAGGAAACUCUGAUGCAGCGAUGCCGCGUGAGUGAAGAAGGCCCUUGGGUUGUAAAGCUCUUUCGUCGGGGAAGAAAAUGACUGUACCCGAAUAAGAAGGUCCGGCUAACUUCGUGCCAGCAGCCGCGGUAAUACGAAGGGACCUAGCGUAGUUCGGAAUUACUGGGCUUAAAGAGUUCGUAGGUGGUUGAAAAAGUUGGUGGUGAAAUCCCAGAGCUUAACUCUGGAACUGCCAUCAAAACUUUUCAGCUAGAGUUUGAUAGAGGAAAGCAGAAUUUCUAGUGUAGAGGUGAAAUUCGUAGAUAUUAGAAAGAAUACCAAUUGCGAAGGCAGCUUUCUGGAUCAUUACUGACACUGAGGAACGAAAGCAUGGGUAGCGAAGAGGAUU
Molecule: ribosomal RNA, 650 nt
Filed under: uncultured marine bacterium
Lineage: Bacteria
Description: bacterial SSU rRNA
Rfam family: Bacterial small subunit ribosomal RNA
Source: RNAcentral